This 465-nucleotide ribosomal RNA is filed under the name uncultured bacterium. Its description in RNAcentral is "partial 16S ribosomal RNA". It matches the Rfam family "Bacterial small subunit ribosomal RNA", at positions 28 to 507 of the family's 1533-position model. The record is from RNAcentral.
GAUGAACGCUGGCGGCGUGCUUAACACAUGCAAGUCGAACGGAAAGGCUCCUGCUUGCAGGGGUACUCGAGUGGCGAACGGGUGAGUAACACGUGGGUGAUCUGCCCUGCACUUCGGGAUAAGCCUGGGAAACUGGGUCUAAUACCGGAUAGAACCACAUUUUGGAUGGUGUGGUGGAAAGUUUUUCGGUGUGGGAUGAGCUCGCGGCCUAUCAGCUUGUUGGUGGGGUAAUGGCCUACCAAGGCGUCGACGGGUAGCCGGCCUGAGAGGGUGUACGGCCACAUUGGGACUGAGAUACGGCCCAGACUCCUACGGGAGGCAGCAGUGGGGAAUAUUGCACAAUGGGCGCAAGCCUGAUGCAGCGACGCCGCGUGGGGGAUGACGGCCUUCGGGUUGUAAACUCCUUUCGCUAGGGACGAAGCGCAAGUGACGGUACCUGGAGAAGAAGCACCGGCUAACUACGUG